This 508-nucleotide ribosomal RNA is filed under the name Pseudarthrobacter defluvii. RNAcentral describes it as "bacterial SSU rRNA". It matches the Rfam family "Bacterial small subunit ribosomal RNA", at positions 396 to 916 of the family's 1533-position model. Lineage: Bacteria; Bacillati; Actinomycetota; Actinomycetes; Micrococcales; Micrococcaceae. The record is from RNAcentral.
GCCGCGUGAGGGAUGACGGCCUUCGGGUUGUAAACCUCUUUCAGUAGGGAAGAAGCGUAAGUGACGGUACUGCAGAAGAAGCGCCGGCUAACUACGUGCCAGCAGCCGCGGUAAUACGUAGGGCGCAAGCGUUAUCCGGAUUAUUGGGCGUAAAGAGCUCGUAGGCGGUUUGUCGCGUCUGCCGUGAAAGUCCGGGGCUCAACUCCGGAUCUGCGGUGGGUACGGGCAGACUAGAGUGAUGUAGGGGAGACUGGAAUUCCUGGUGUAGCGGUGAAAUGCGCAGAUAUCAGGAGGAACACCGAUGGCGAAGGCAGGUCUCUGGGCAUUAACUGACGCUGAGGAGCGAAAGCAUGGGGAGCGAACAGGAUUAGAUACCCUGGUAGUCCAUGCCGUAAACGUUGGGCACUAGGUGUGGGGGACAUUCCACGUUUUCCGCGCCGUAGCUAACGCAUUAAGUGCCCCGCCUGGGGAGUACGGCCGCAAGGCUAAAACUCAAAGGAAUUGACGG